AUGAACGCUGGCGGCGUGCCUAAUACAUGCAAGUCGAGCGAACAGACGAGGAGCUUGCUCCUCUGACGUUAGCGGCGGACGGGUGAGUAACACGUGGAUAACCUACCUAUAAGACUGGGAUAACUUCGGGAAACCGGAGCUAAUACCGGAUAAUAUAUUGAACCGCAUGGUUCAAUAGUGAAAGACGGUUUUGCUGUCACUUAUAGAUGGAUCCGCGCCGCAUUAGCUAGUUGGUAAGGUAACGGCUUUCCAAGGCAACGAUGCGUAGCCGACCUGAGAGGGUGAUCGGCCACACUGGAACUGAGACACGGUCCAGACUCCUACGGGAGGCAGCAGUAGGGAAUCUUCCGCAAUGGGCGAAAGCCUGACGGAGCAACGCCGCGUGAGUGAUGAAGGUCUUCGGAUCGUAAAACUCUGUUAUUAGGGAAGAACAAAUGUGUAAGUAACUAUGCACGUCUUGACGGUACCUAAUCAGAAAGCCACGGCUAACUACGUG
This 496-nucleotide ribosomal RNA is filed under the name uncultured bacterium. RNAcentral describes it as "partial 16S ribosomal RNA". It matches the Rfam family "Bacterial small subunit ribosomal RNA", at positions 29 to 507 of the family's 1533-position model. The record is from RNAcentral.